GGCUGGGAACACGCCCCUCGCCGCCACCGUUCCGGGCCAAAUCCGCCCCCGCCCGGCCUCAGCCCCCUCCCGCCGCCCCCGGGCUGUCUGUGCGGCCACAGGGGCUGGGGCAGGGGUGGGAGCCCCGAGAGACCUCGUGGGAAGGGUCUCUGGGAGGAGCAUGGUGACAUGGCCUUGGGGAAGGGGCUGUGGCGAGCACGGCGGCCAGGCUGUGAGGAGGAGGCGGUGGGCGAUGCCGGGGCAGCUGCUCCAGGGCCGAGGGGCACCUCAGAGGGAGAAGAGUGACAGUUGGAAAUGCUGUUGCUUUAAGCAUUACGACUACAACGUAUAAAGAACUAGGCCGUGGGCAGUCUUCAGUACUGUUCCAUCUAACUUCUAUGAAAUCAAUAGGAUGUUAGGGAACCGGCAAAAGAAGGAGCAGAACCAGAUUUCAAGAGACACAGGAAGAGCUACCGUCUCAAAGAAAACAUGAAGAAAGGUCCAACAGUGAAGUUGGAGGCCCAACUGUCUCACUGCAUCUUUCUAUGUAUGGGUAAAAUCCUGAAUUUAACUAUUUGGUAUUCCAAGCUACCACCUCUUUAGUUCACUGGUGAUAUGGCAGAGAGAACUGAUGUGGGUAAUGUACCAGUGGAAUAAUUAUAGAAAUUAAAAGGGCCACUGGAAAAUCUCAUAGUCAGAGAGCAUGGAACCUGUGAUUUUAUUUUAAACUUAGAGAACUGUUGGGAACAAUUUACUAUUUUCCUGGCUUUUCUGUUUAUUUAGUGGAACUUACUAGUAACACAGAAUUUGAUCAAUCAGAGUGCAGAGUUUGA
Molecule: long non-coding RNA, 812 nt
Organism: Pipra filicauda (Wire-tailed manakin)
Lineage: Eukaryota; Metazoa; Chordata; Aves; Passeriformes; Pipridae
Exons: 4
Source: RefSeq, a predicted model, not a curated record